AUUAAUAUAGGUCCCUGUUCUCAAGCUCACCUUUAGUUGGAAAGCCAAGGUCUUGCAAACGAAACCAACUUAGUUUCAUGUUCCUCAGGUCCUUUUGGUGGUGGAUGGUGGUGGCUUUUGAUGAAACAGGGCACACAGAAGGACACAGGUGCCUGCCCCCCGCCCCAGCCUCCCCAUCGGGGGGUGUGCUGCAAUGAGGAUGACUCUUAGGCCACAUUCCGAAACAGGAACCACCUUCUAUCCAUGAGUAGGUAGAAGCCAGCCAGUCCUGCCAGCUGGUCUGUAAUUUUGGUGAGAACUGCACUCAUUCUUCUUUCAGGCUUUCCCACAAACACCUGCGUGUAAGUUUCACUGGAGGCCAAUGCGGCUGCACCCCGACAAUGAAUCAACUCACUCACGUCAGAGGGCAGAAGCCCCCAGUUAGUGCAAGACCAGAGCCAAGCAGGGCUAAGAUCUCGGGCUCCCUUUCUUCUGCCCAUGAGAAGAGAGCGAUGCUUGACCGAGCCUUUCUGGUCCACCACGUAUCUUCAACACUGCCCGUUCGAGAAGCGACAAGUUGCUUCCACUCUCCUUGACCAAAAAGCCAGUCGUUUGGUGCAGACAGCAAUGAGGAUAUUUGAAGUUGCUGCAGCACCUACCCCCCACCCCCCGGCCAGGGCUGGUUAAAUGUUUGAUAACCACCCUGGAUGAGGGAGUUCCUGGUUUAGAUACUUCAGAUACAAACUGAAAGCUCUAGGUUGUGGCUUAAAAUUGACUUGCACACAGAUGUCAUACUGUUAGAGAAAAUAUAAAAGUGAAAAUCCUUGCCGCGGGAUAGGUACAGAUAAAGGUGUGAGAACCCAAACAUGGAGGUGAGUGAGGACCUGCGUGGGGCUCACAGUGGUGGCUUAGAGAAGUUUCUGGAGAAAGCCAUGUCUCUUUUUCGUUCGUUCAAGUUUUAUUGAAGUAUGGUUGAUGUACAGUGGUGUGAUAAUUUCUGCGGUACAACAAAGUGACUCAGUUAUACGUGUCCACGCAUCCAUUCUUUUUCAGGUUCUUCUCCCACGUAGACGCUCACAGAAUAUCGGGUGGAGUUCUCUGUGCUGCGCCAAGGUUCGUGGAAUGACUGGCCAGCAGGGAUCAGAGAAGGCCAUCCAAAGCAGAGCUCCGGAGGUUCAGCGAUGCUUAGAUGAGAGGGCCGUGGUUCCGUGGUUCUCCGCAUCCAUGUGCCUGAGCGUCUCGCGAGGACAUCUCCGGGAAUCUCCAGCUGCACCAGAAGCCCGCAGAUUGUUCUCUGAAAUGCUGGCACUCGGUCACACCCUUACCAGGAAGGUAGGGAAGUUCCCGUUUCUUCACGUUCUCUUCAACACUGGACAUGGUCACAUUUAAAAAUUUUUGCCCAUUUGAUGCGAGUGGGAGGGUAUCUCAUUUGUGUCCUUAUUUCCGCAGUGACCGGGGAAGUGGAUGGAACACAUCAUUGCGUAUUUAUGGGCUUUUAAGGUUUCCUCUUUUAUGAAUCGGCAGUUAACAUCCAUGGCCUGCUUACCUCCUGGGUGGGUGGACUCAGCUUGAUAUGCAGAGUGAAGACCUUUGGGGCUCUGCUGUGAUACUCGUUGUCUGUAUUUAUGACCCCCGCAUCCCACAAGCUCUCGUUGGCUUUAUCAUGUUGCUUAUGGCAUCUUUGCUUGUCCUCAGGUGUUAAAACGUUGCUUGAAUUUAUGCUCACUGAAUCUGGUUCCCUUUUUGCUGUGUGUUUAUGCCUUGAUGUUAUGAAGCAGCCCUGCCAUCUGCUUCGGAACGGUUUCAAGUCUUGCUCUCCACACUGGAGUCCAGCGUUAGGUUUUCUCAUGUUGACAGUCACUGGUCCCAUGGCCAUUUAUUCUCUCUGAGGGGUAGUGUCACCUGUGUCCUAGAUUGAGGUGACAUCUGGGAGGGCAAGACCUCCAGUGGCCUGGUGACUCCUGGCCUUUUGCUCUUGUUCACACCGGUUAGAGGUAUCUUAGGUCACACACGCACACAGGCAUGUGCACACACAGAGUCCGUGAAGGGAUGAUUUUUCUUUUUUUUUUCUUGCACUGAAUUUAAAGAAUACUUUGGAAGAGAUCUGCCGUCUUUAAGAUAGUUAUCCCAUCCACACCCGGGACAGCUUUUCAUGUGUUAGGUCUUCAUGAUGUCUUUCCAUGCAGUUCUAGAAUUUUCUAUGCAAAUAUCUUCUGCAUUCUUCGAUUUUUUUCCUUGUACAUCUUGCCUCAUGUUUUCCGUUGCUAUUGGAAGUGACUGUUAUUUAUUGAUUUAUUUUGGGCCGCAGCAGGCAGCAGCUUCUUGUGGAUCUCAGUUCCCAGACUAGGGACUCAACCUGGAGGGCAGUGGUGAAUGCGCCGAAUCCUAACCCCUAGACCACCAGGGAGCCCUCAGAAAUGAGUCCUUGUACAUUAUGCCUUCUAGUUUUUUGUUAGAUUUUUUUUCCUCCCCAGAUCAUUUGUGCUUUCAGAACAAGUAACUUCCGAGUAGGAAGUGAUGAUGAUCCUUUAAACACGACCUGACGGGUUGUGCCCAGAUCCGUGGCUGGCCUGCCUUCCAGGGGUUGACAGCUGAUAGAGGCCAGCUUGGACCACCGCGUGGGCCUGUCUGCCCACCUUCCCAGUCCCUCAUCAUCUCGUUCCACUGUGUGGCAGAUGACCUCUUCCGAACUGGAGCAGUUUCUUCUUUCGUUUCUAGAGAAAUCGAUAGUUUGCUCUGCUUGUAAGUUCCAGACACACUCAAGAGUCCUCUGGAGAGCUACGCUGAUUCGGACAAGCGCUGCAGGCUGCCAGGACCAGGGGAAGAAACCCCUGGUUUUCCCAUCCAUCCUCUUCCAGAUCCGCUCACAAGGGUACAGCCCUUUGUGUUUAUCUGCCCCGAAUCCAUAGUCAUGUCACUAACACAAAGAGGGUUUCGAUUUUAUCCUCCUCGAAGUCUUUGCUAUUCAGCUACUUUCCCAGGAUUAUAAAACAUGAGAGGAAGGAAACCCCUGCUGUGUCUCUGGGCCGUGGUCGUCCGCCCUGCGAGAGAGCCUGGCCCCCAAGCGAAGGUCCUCCUAGACCAUCCAAGCCCCUUCUCCCUCCCUCUCCGCUCCGACCCUGCCUCCAUCCCGACUCUCUUCAUCCCCCUCCUCCUACUGUCUCUUGCUGCUGCUGCAAUGAAUCACCACAUCCUCCAUCACUUAGCACAGCACAUAUCCGUCAUCUCACAGUUCUGGGGGCCAGAAGCCCCUUGGGGCUCGCUGGCCAAAGUCAAGGUGUUAACAGGACUGCAUUCUUUACGAAGCCUCCGGGGGAGGCUGUGCUUUCUGACCUCUUCUGCUUCUGGGGGAAGGCCUCCCUUGGCUCAUGGGCCCCUUCUUCCCUCUCUAAAGCCAGCGAUGGCCAGUGCCCCACCCUGCCUGCCUCCCUUGUCACAUCUUUCUCCUCCUUUUUCCCCUUAAAGACCUUUGUGAGACCUUGGGCCCCCCUGCGCCAUCCGGGAUAACCGCCCAUCUCCAGGUCCUUCAUCAAAAGCAAAGGAUGUGGACAUCUUUGGGGACAUUCUCUGGCCUACCUCACACUUCGACCAGAGUUCUUUUAAACUGAGAGCCGAGACUCGAAGAACCAGCUCAGUGGUUUGGGACCAGCCUUCCCCUCCCCCAGCUUUAUUGAAAAAUAAUUGUCAUUUAUCCCUGGGUAAAUCUAAGGUAUACAGUGUGAUGGCUUGAUUUAGAUACUUUAUAAAAUGUUUACCACAGUGUGGAACCAGUAUUUCCAAAUGAAAUCAGAGUCCUUUGCUCUGGCAGGGUUAAGUAUUAUUUCAUGGGCUUCAGAUGUGUGUGUGUGUGUGUGUGACUUGGUUAGCCGUAUAAACAUAGAAUAUAUUUCUUCCCGUGAGUUUUGAUUUUCUUUUUUCAAAGGAAAGCAGCUGCAGAACUGUCACAGUAGCCUCCUAAUUGGUCUUUCGGCCUCCAGGCUCUCUAAGCCGUCCUCCACAAGGCUGCCAGAAAGUUCUUCCUAAAAAUAAACCAGACAUAUCACUCUGCUAAAAAGCUCCAAGGGCUCUCCGCAGCCAGCUGGAUGCUCUGCUCCUGCUCCUCCGGACCCACUGUCCUCUUCCCGCCCUGGGGCUGCCCACCUCGGGCCGCCUCACCCAGGCUCCUUUGCUCCGAUGUCCACUUGGGUGUGGACACUGGGAGGCCUGGGGAGAGUCAGAGGGCUGGAGGGAGAGACGUUCAGGGCACUUUCCCCCCAGCUUCUUCUCUGCUGGGCAAGGCCAGCUUCGAGGGUGUGUCAUCCGUGCAGCAGGACGGGGACCCUGUGCUCAGAAAGGCCGCCCCUUGGUUUAGCGCUCUGCUCUCACCGUCUUAACACUGGGAAUCGUUUUGAACAAGGGGUCUUCGUUUUCAUUCUGCAUGGGGCCCUGCACAUGGGUCACUCGUUCUGCCUCCAGGGCACACGCGGCCGUGACAGUGUUCCUCUGCCGAGGGCACAGCUCGUGUCUGGCACCCAUCUCCCCCCUCCCCACGGUCAGGCUCCGGCGAACGCACCCACGAGCUCCAGCCAUCCUGGCGGUGACGGAGCUUCCUGCUGUUGCUGGGCCCUCGGGCCUGCAUCCUCCAUCGGCUAGACAGUCCCUUCUUUAAACUCACUUUGCCUCCUCCAAGAGCACCUCUGCUUCCUCUUGGGACCCUCACGGAUAAACAGUCUACAGACAACAUGCAAAGUCUUGUCCUUCCUAAGAUGUCACAGGUUUGCCGCUCCUGGUCUUUGUCGCGGACCCCCUGCUACCUCGUUCCGACUCCUGCAUCAGUCCUCUCUUUCCAUAAACACACUCAGGGCUUUCGUGUUCUGCGGUGGCUCACGGUUCCCCAGUAUGUGUUUCUUCUUCCAGAGGGAUUCUGCUGGGCACAAAGUUACCCAGACGAGGACAGCAUAGCCCAGGCUCCCCUGUGGGCAGGGUGUUGCUGGGACUAAAUUCUGCCUAAAGCUCUGCGAGCAGAAGUGCUUGUGUGUUUGGCAGAUGCCAGGAAACUUCCCUAAGAGAUUCCCGGACCAUUAGCUCUGCUGGCCGUCCUUUGCCCCUUCUCCCAUUCUGUGGCCUGAAAUGUGGGCCGUCUGGGCUGCGAGCGUAGGGGGCAUACCCUACGGAUGUAGCGUGAUGAUCUGGAGGACACCUGUGUCCCUGGAGGUCUCAGGGCACAAAGUCUUCGUACCAGUUCCGGAUUCAGUGCCUCCCGGCCUAAGGACUUAUGCAUAAGACAGAGAGAGACUCUUUUUAAGCCAUUGAUAUUUGGCUUUUCUAUUUCUUACCGAUGAACCUAAGCAAGGCUGCACCUGUCAUCACUCACUGAACAGGUACUUAUGGAGAGCUGUGUGCUGAGCUCUGUUAGAGGCUGUGGGUGGGGAGGUGGCUUGGAAUCGGCAGGUAGCAGUAGGCCAUGUGCAGGUGGAGGCAGUGGCGAUUUGAAGAGGUCGUGGAUAAAGAGGGCAUGCUCGGAGGAACAGGCCUGUCGGAACAGGAAGAGCACAGACUUCAAGGCCGAACUGGACCAUAAUGGAGGAACCGAAGUCCCAAGGCCACAAGAGGUUCCAACCUGCAAACAAUACACUGCCCCAGAGGUACCUUACUAGACCGAGGGGCUGGGAAAGGUGAAUAAAAUGAACAAAAUGUGUUUUGCACAUACAAGCAAAACCAGAGCAGAAGCUGAGUAACUAAUACUGCCAGAGGACUUCUAAGAGGGAUUCUUAAAAUGACAAAGUGCAAGACGUUUUCUUGAUGAAGGAGAAAAGACAAGGAAAAUUGCCAUCACGCGAGUAUGUGCCAAAAUACAGACUCCAAACCGUUAGAAUUAUAGGUAUGACAUUUUAGAAAAAUGAUAAAUUGAGACAUUUUUAAUACACUCCUAUUUAGUUCUCUAAAGAUUAGGCAGAUGAAAAAAUAAUCUGGGAUAGAGAUCUGAACAAUUCGUCUUAAAAUGAUUUAGGAGGUCCCAUCAUGGUUCAGCGGUAAUGAACCCGAACAGCAUCCUCGAGGACAUGGGUUUGAUCCCUGGCCUCGCUCCAUGGGUUAAGGAUCCGGCUUUGUCGUGAGCCGUGGUGGAGGUCGCAGAUGUGGCUCAGAUCCUGAGUUGCUGUGGCUGUGGUGUAGGCUGGCAGCUGCAGCUCCAAUUCAACCCCUAGCCUGGGAACUUCCAUAUGCCUCAGGUGCGGCCCUUAAAAAAAAAAAAAAAAAAAAAAAAAAAA
This 6227-nucleotide long non-coding RNA is filed under the name Sus scrofa (pig). RNAcentral's name for it is "lncRNA (ENSSSCG00025059293.1)". Lineage: Eukaryota; Metazoa; Chordata; Mammalia; Artiodactyla; Suidae. The record is from RNAcentral.